AUGAAUCAAACAAUAAAACACCACUUCAUUCUAUUUCAUACAUCUCCGCUUCAUCCUAUUCCAUCAAUCCGAUCGGAGUUUUUAUUCUAUUCCGUCAAUCUAAAUUCGCGGGAGUGUGAGAAUAAGAAAUAUCACAAAUCAAAAUCUUUCUUGUACAUUGCACCUUUAAGUUACAAACUCAAGCAACCAAUUUAA
Vicia faba (fava bean) is the source of this 195-nucleotide non-coding RNA. The record is from the annotation of a GenBank genome assembly. Lineage: Eukaryota; Viridiplantae; Streptophyta; Magnoliopsida; Fabales; Fabaceae.